Long non-coding RNA from Gallus gallus (chicken), 4831 nucleotides. NCBI's taxonomy places the organism in Eukaryota, Metazoa, Chordata, Aves, Galliformes, Phasianidae. The record is from Ensembl.
UAAGUCCUUGGGGCACAACAUACCCUCAGCAUGGCCCAGAAGCUGAGCUCCUGUGUGUUCUGUGUAUAUUUUUUGGGGGGUGGGAGAUAGAAUGGUGUGCAUGGACAAAUAAAUGUAGUAGUAGUGCAAAGCUGUGUACUCAGACACUGCCUGUCAGGCCAAGUGACUUGUCAAAUCAAAGCCUUCUUGAGCAUGCAGCUCUCCCUCUUCCUUUCUCAAAGGGAAGAGUUCCUUCUCAAAGAGCUCUUUCCCCAGUCCCUGCAUUUCCAGGAUCACAAAGCAGAAGUGUGUGGUGCUCAUAAGGACAAGAUGGACACAGCCUCGGGGAUUUACCUGAAGAUCACAGAAGACCUAAGGCAGAUCUUGGAAAGAAGACAUCCCAGAGGGAUAUUUCCUGUAGUAACCACCCGCUCACCCAUCCUUUCUGCCAGCUGCAUGACUGCACAGCAAAGAAAACAGGAACAACGUGGAGGAGGAAGGUGGGAGCAGGCAGGAAAAACUUUUUCCUGCUUCAGCUCAUCUUUAUUUUUUAUUGAUAACUAACUGUUCUGGAAAAAUAAUUUUGGAGCAUGCAAAGCUACACAAACCACAGAGGUAACAUGUCCCCAUUCAGGACUGAUGCACUGAUGACAGUUCUUUGGCAAAACAGAGGACCCCACAGAAACCUGCACUGGCAGUUCACAUUUUGUGUUACUACUGUGUCUCAAUUUUCUGCGGUUUACAAGUCCUUCUAAUAACUCUCAGCAGAGUAUCACUAUACUGUGAUACAUUACAAUAUGAAGAUCACAUGUAUAAUUCCAAGAAUUAAAAAGUUCAAUCCACAAGCACUUUGUACUAUUUCCCAAAAAUAUGUGAAUACCAAACAUAUUGCUUCUAUGAAUCUGUGCUGUUAAUGGGUAUCUCUUCAAAGAGAGCAAGAGAGUACUGCCCACGUCCUUCUGGCCACUCUCACUGUGGGUUUUGAUGUGUUUACAUUACUCCAUGCUCACAUAGAAAAGUAUUUUCCAAGACAGCAUGGUUUGCUGUCAGAUAAAGCAUGGUAGCAUAACAAAAACAAAAGAAAAAGGAAAAUAAAUCUAAAGUAGCAUUAGCGCAAAUCACUGAGUGGUGUACACUGUCAGUGAUCGCAUUCUGGUUGAUAUGACUAUGGCCAUACAAAUAUUCUUUUUUCUUAGAGAUACGAGUGAGCUUUGGUGUUCACAUGUAGCUCACAGAAAUGACUCAGAAAAAUGAAGGAAAGAAUGGUAAUCCAAACAGAAAUAAGAGGAGGGAAUUGCAAAUCAUUCCAAGGACAGCAUAUAAAUCAAAUUAAUUUAGGACAUUUGAAUUUUUCUGCAAUUAUAUACCCUGAGUAUACUUAUAAAACUCAGAGUGAAAAAAUGUUGGGCCUGAUUUUUGUCAAAAUAAGAUCAUAUUGAGACAUUUUACUGGGGUAAAAGAUUCUUAAACUGGAAAUGAUUUAUGAUUAUGUCCACCUUCUACAGCUAGAAAGGACCUAUACACUGACAAUUAAAGGUUGCAUUUUUGAGGCAGUCUUCACCAGCUUUGGAUAACUUUGCAGAGAACUCAGUGUGAUUUGCCCUGAGGGAUCUGAAAAGCCUGUCAGGAACAAAUUUGUAGUAAGCUCACAUGUGUAUUGGCAGGCUUGUUGUCAAUAAAAUUAUAAAUGUCAGUUGCUGUUCCAGAACAGGUGGCACUAUAAAAAAAUUGGCUAUGGGAAAUGCAUGCAGCUUACAAGGAAAAUAUCCACUUUUGCAGAUUGGGAAUAAGAAACUUUGCACAGCUGAUUUGUGAACUAGUGGUAUUUUUUAAUGUGUUUUCCUUAAAGCUGCUUUGAGAUGUUCAUGCCUACAGUUUUCCCCAUUACUGUUUGGUUUUGUUUCUUUUAUUCCAUAGUUAAAUGUAUCAAAGCCUAGAAAGUGAGAUCUGAACCAUUUAAGAGUCUCUCCAUGUGCCAUCUUAGAUGCUUGGAUCAGCAAUGGGAACAGUUUUGUAUUGCUGUUACUCCAUUAAUCACAAAGCAGUUGCUCAGAGUUACUCUUGCUUCGGCCUGAAGCAAACAAGGACAGGAUGGGUCUGUGGUCAUACAGUACCUGUGACAAAUGAUUUACUGGUUGGUUUACAUCACAGAUCUCCUCAGGGUUUGUUCUUCCUGUGUUUUAUUUUUCUAAAGCAGAAAUAGACUGAUUACUGAGCUUUAUUCAGCCUCCUCUCCAUCAACAAUGGCUUUUAUUUGGACUGGAGAUAGUGAAAAACAAACUGAAGCCUUGUACUCAAGGUUAUGGAAAGCCUCUCUUCCAGGAUGUCUUCAGAUCUCACCCCACUGGGUAUUUUUAGUGACACUUUGCAAAUAUGGCACUCAUGAAGGUCAAAUAAAUGGUGCAUAUCCAAUGUGCUGCAGCUGAAGUCACCGCAGCCCUUCUAUUGUGUGCUGUAUUGCAAAAUGUACACCAGAGGACUUACAGAUGAAUGAAAUAGAAAUAAACAUAUGGAUACAAUAAAUGAAAAAAUGAUUAACACAUUUUUACCAUUUUGCAUUGCUGUGGAGUAUUUGAAUGAAUUCUGCCUCACUUGACCUUCUCAGAGCAAGGCACAAUUGCCCAGUCAAAAUCAUGCUGCCUUUAUAUCACUGAAAAAUAUUCUUAAUUUGAAAAGUUUACAAGACUCCUUGGAGUACUCAGAUCUGAAAAACUGGCCACAGUCUUCCCUGGCAAAACAGGCAUGUUAUACUAUACCUUCCCAAACUUGAAUCACUCCCUUGGCAUCUGGGGGCCAUCUCUGUGCUGGAGGCACAAAUAAGUACUCAUUCUGACACUGCUAACUGAUUUGUUUGUUUGUUUGCUUUUAAGUAUCCUGACAGUUCAUAGCAUUUCCUUUAUGAAACAGAGAUGCCUUUCAGAGACUGUGCCUGACCAGGAAUCAAGGGAGGUUAAUAAAUAUAUUAGUUUCCCUGUACCACCACUACAUUCCUGUAAGCAUAUUGCUUCAGGACUGGAGGAUAUUACCCUGCACACCUACACAGUGCAACACAAAUCCACUUGUGAUAUAGUUAGUUACAUUUAUAGGAUGAGCAGGAGAACCGCUAGAUAUUUGGAUCUUCAAAUUGUUUACUGCCCUCUCUUCUAGCGAUAAAUAAAUAAAUCAGUUGGUAAUUCAGACUUACAGAAAGCUGUUUGAAGUUGUAAAAGAAAGCUACUCCUUGUGCUUAGCCUGUUUCAGUUAUGCAUGGCUGGCAAGGACUCUUGCUAAUUGAAGCAUUCAUUUAGGUCAUUUGGCACCCUUCCUUCCCUUCCUGCCUCCACAUCCUCUGAGCGUGAAACGACAUCUGGGGUGUGGGUUCCGUGUCACUGGUGCCAGUGCACUCCAACCUGCAAGCAAAAUUUAACCUUUAUUAGGUGCCCCAUUAGAGGUUAGUAACAAUAAAAAAUAGUCCCUGCAGGAGCACUGGGGAAGCAUGCGUAUAAUAGACCGCAAAACACCCACAGUGGGCAAAGCUCAGGAAAUUCCUGACCUUAAAAAUGUCCUGUUCAGUUUCAUGUAAAGAGAGAAAAAAAUUAAUUCUCUCCCAGGCAUAAAAAUCAAGACUAUUAAAUUUAAGAGUAGGUUGAGUUCUUUCCUUGCAUUCAAUUGCUUUUGUUGAGUAGCGAUAUAUUCUGGUUCCUAGGAGCACUCCACUGUUUACUCCGGUUACUAAAGGAAUAAAUUGUUCUAAGGAUGCAGAUGUCCAAGUAGUUAACGUUACAGCCUACAGCUAUUGCCAAGGAAAUAGGAAAACCUGAGUUUCUCUCCUGCAGAACUACUUUGUUAAGCUAUAUUUCUUACUUAUGUCAUCCUUAGUUUUCUCCUUUUACACAACAUCUUUAUGUGAUGUUGAUGGAUGCUGAAGGCUGUAUGCAGAUGUCACGGUUGCUGACAAUGUGUUUGUAUGGCAUAACAGAAGUUUGUAUGGCAAGCAGAAGUUCCUGGCUAAGGGCUUCAGAAGUAACUGCAUCUGUAGGGGGGGCUUCCACUUCUGUUUUCCCAGCUUCAGCACCUUACGGACAACUAGAUUCUAAGUCCAGAUGUAAUUUCUGAAGGUGAAACAUGUCCAGCUGGGCACUCAAAUCAGUAUUUCAGUUGAAAACCACUGAUACCACUGGCAUCUAGACAGAGCCUAGUGGAGGGCCACAAAGAUGAUCAGGGGCCUGGAGCACCUCCUGUAUGAGAAAAGGCUGAGAGACCUGGGGAUUUUCAUCCUGGAGAAGGGUGAAAAGCAAGGCACCGCAUAACUGUUUAUAAAUAUCAAAAGGGCGGGAGUCAAGUUGAUGGGGGUGGACUCAUUUCAGUGGCAAGCAACAAUAGAACAAGGAGCAAUGGACAGAAACUGGAGCACAGGAAGUUCCAUACUAACACCAGGAAGAGCUUCUUUACUGUGACAAUGGCGGUGCACUGGAACAGGAUGCCCAGACAGGGUGUGGAGUCUCCUGCUCUCGAGACAUUCAAGACCAGUCUGGAUGCCUACCUGUGCGACCUGCUGCAGGGAACUGCUUUAGCAGUGGAUUGGACCAGAUGAUCUCCAGAGGUCCCUUCCAAUGCCUACAAUUUUGCAAUUCUGCGAUUCUGUGAUAGUCAAACAAAAAUAUCUGUAAAACUAUACCACAUGAAGAAGUCCCCUGUAUUCCAGUGUUUUCUUUAAUUUUUUUUUUGAUAUUAUACUUCUUUAUUGAUAUACAUUUUAAAGAUGCUAAUAUUUCUGUUCCAUGUAUAUUUUUCAAGUGUAUGAAUACACACUUGUUUAAAUAUGCAAUAUAUUGAAAACAUCAGUAGAUAAUUAAAUGCGUUUCUGAUGACU